This 65-nucleotide transfer RNA is filed under the name Hylaeus elegans. Its description in RNAcentral is "tRNA-Leu". Lineage: Eukaryota; Metazoa; Arthropoda; Insecta; Hymenoptera; Colletidae. The record is from RNAcentral.
UUUAAUAUGGCAGAAUUAAGUGCAAUGAAUUUAAGAUUCAAAAAUAAAAUAAUUUUUUAUUAAAA